UUUUUUUAAUUGAAAUAAUUAUAGAUUGACUUUCAGUUUAAGAAAUGAUAACCAAAAUCGGGGGGUAGUGGUUCAUGCAUGUCAUCUUAGUACUCAAAAGGCUGAAACAAAGAAUUGUCUAAGUUUGAGAUCAGUUUGGCCUACAGAGUAAGUUUCAGGUCAGCUGGGGGUAAAGGAAAACCCAGCCAUCACAAAAACAAAUCCAAACAAGACAGGCUGAGUGUGGUGGCGCAUCUUUUUAUAAUCACAGCAGUCAGGAUUCUGUGAGCUUGAGGCCAGCCUGGUGUACAGAGUUCUAGCUGUCAUAGCUAAAGAGUGAGCUGAGGCUGGGGAAUAGUUCAUUGAGUUGAUGUGAAUGCCACAUGAACACGACAGCAUGAGUUGUUCACGUUCUCCACAGAUGAAUUUGUAGCCCGCGUCCUAGGGGUUGGGUGGAAACGGGUGGCUCCCAGAGUUGCUGAGUAGCCGUUCUCAGCAGUCGCUGAGAAUUGUUGAUUCUUUGGCUCAAAGAGAGAUCCUGUGUAAAGAAAUCAGGUGAAGAGUGAUACCCAUCAAUCUUUAGGAUCUACGUGGUGCAUAAUCACAUAUGUAUUUUCACAGACAAAUACAGACACACAAAAACAAGAGGCCCCUGAAUGGUAUUACUUUGCAAAACUGUAAUAAAAAUAUAUCUAAAAUAUUG
RNAcentral lists this long non-coding RNA (682 nucleotides) under Rattus norvegicus (Norway rat). RNAcentral's name for it is "long non-coding RNA NONRATT004839". The record is from RNAcentral. Lineage: Eukaryota; Metazoa; Chordata; Mammalia; Rodentia; Muridae.